Molecule: long non-coding RNA, 654 nt
Filed under: Helianthus annuus (common sunflower)
Lineage: Eukaryota; Viridiplantae; Streptophyta; Magnoliopsida; Asterales; Asteraceae
Description: hypothetical non coding rna
Source: RNAcentral
AAUAGAUUGCAAUUCAAGUUCGAUGAUGAUGAACUUAUUGUAAACAAUCGAACAACAAUCCAAACCGAUGCACCGGACUACAUGUAAACAUUCAUAAAGGUUUGACAAGCAACGAAUAGACGUGUCUAUUCCAAGCAGCAUUCAUAAACCUAUGCGUUGCAUCUUUUACGGAACCGUCAUGUCUAUUCCGUAACAUCCUUCGGUGAUAGGGAUCAUUAGGGUCAUCAAAUUGGUACCAGCGCAAAGGUUGUGAAGAAUGGAUCAAGAAGAAGAACACGAUUAGGAGGGGAGGUUGUGUCGUUUCGAUUACCGAUCAUAUAAGAAGAAGGAAAGAAAUCAGGGAGACCGAUUCGGUUGUUAAAAUCCCAAAGCUUUGUUGAACGCAUCAAGAAGUGCGUUGAUAUGAUUUUAAUGUAUUAGUCUAUUUAAACUACGAUGUUGUUGCCAAAAAUUGUGAUUGAUUUCUAGAAAACUGCUUUUGAUCCGAAAGAAAUGAUUGUGCAAGAAUUCGUUGUGUUUUGUGAUAAAUAAAUUGCAAUUACAAAUGUGCGUUGAUAAUAUAUUUAUGUAUUAAUCUAUUUGAACGAUGCCGAUGUUGCUAUUUGAACGAUGGCGAUGGAAAUGAUUUCCGAAAUGAUUUCAUAUGAAUAUUGA